GAUGAAGAACGCAGCGAAAUGCGAUAAGUAAUGUGAAUUGCAGAAUUCAGUGAAUCAUCGAAUCUUUGAACGCACCUUGCGCCCUUUGGCUAUUCCGAAGGGCAUGCCUGUUUGAGUAUCAUGAACACCUCAACUCUUCACGGCUUGCCGUGAUGAGUUUGGACUUUGGGGGUCUUGCUGGCCUACGAGCCAGCUCCUCUCAAAUGUAUUAGCUUGCCGGUGUUUGGUGGCAUCACAGGUGUGAUAACUAUCUACGCUUGUGGUUUUCCACUAGGUAACCUUCAGCAAUGGAGGUUCACCGGAGCUCACAAAUGUCUCUCCUUGCCAAGGACAGAUUUUGACCAUUUGAUCUCAAAUCAGGUAGGACUACCCGCUGAACUUAAGCAUAUCAAUAAGCGGAGG
Molecule: unclassified non-coding RNA, 402 nt
Filed under: soil metagenome
Description: partial contains 5.8S ribosomal RNA, internal transcribed spacer 2, and large subunit ribosomal RNA
Rfam family: 5.8S ribosomal RNA (bases 1-121)
Source: RNAcentral